This 19-nucleotide microRNA is filed under the name Schistosoma mansoni. RNAcentral's name for it is "sma-miR-8449-5p". The record is from miRBase by way of RNAcentral. Lineage: Eukaryota; Metazoa; Platyhelminthes; Trematoda; Strigeidida; Schistosomatidae.
UUGGAAUAAUUAUGAUUUU